Molecule: microRNA precursor, 109 nt
Filed under: Zea mays
Lineage: Eukaryota; Viridiplantae; Streptophyta; Magnoliopsida; Poales; Poaceae
Description: MIR5565 microRNA precursor family
Rfam family: MIR5565 microRNA precursor family
Source: Rfam by way of RNAcentral
GUACUCAGAUUUGCAUCAAUCCCUAUGUGCUGGGGUGGACCGGAGUGGAACUUGAACUAAAUUUCACCCCAAUCCACCGCAACAAAUGUGGAUUGAGGUGAAUCCAACA